This 496-nucleotide ribosomal RNA is filed under the name uncultured bacterium. RNAcentral's name for it is "partial 16S ribosomal RNA". It matches the Rfam family "Bacterial small subunit ribosomal RNA", at positions 29 to 507 of the family's 1533-position model. The record is from RNAcentral.
AUGAACGCUGGCGGCGUGCCUAAUACAUGCCAGUCGAGCGAACAGACGAGGAGCUUGCUCCUCUGACGUUAGCGGCGGACGGGUGAGUAACACGUGGAUAACCUACCUAUAAGACUGGGAUAACUUCGGGAAACCGGAGCUAAUACCGGAUAAUAUAUUGAACCGCCUGGUUCAAUAGUGAAAGACGGUUUUGCUGUCACUUAUAGAUGGAUCCGCGCCGCAUUAGCUAGUUGGUAAGGUAACGGCUUACCAAGGCGACGAUGCGUAGCCGACCUGAGAGGGUGAUCGGCCACACUGGAACUGAGACACGGUCCAGACUCCUACGGGAGGCAGCAGUAGGGAAUCUUCCGCAAUGGGCGAAAGCCUGACGGAGCAACGCCGCGUGAGUGAUGAAGGUCUUCGGAUCGUAAAACUCUGUUAUUAGGGAAGAACAAAUGUGUAAGUAACUAUGCACGUCUUGACGGUACCUAAUCAGAAAGCCACGGCUAACUACGUG